RNAcentral lists this transfer RNA (64 nucleotides) under Plateros sp. UPOL A00487. RNAcentral describes it as "tRNA-Phe". Lineage: Eukaryota; Metazoa; Arthropoda; Insecta; Coleoptera; Lycidae. The record is from RNAcentral.
UUUUAAUAGCUUAUGUUAGAGUAUAAUAUUGAAGAUAUUAGGGAAGAAUUGCUCUUUAAAAUAU